CAUGUUUCUUAACGCUUCCCUCUUAGCGAUCUACAAGGGUAUGUGGAUCUUAUCUCCCUCUCGUAGAUGAACAUCACCAUGAUAGGUCUUCGUGUGCGUAGGAUUUUUUUUGUUUCCCAUGCAACGUUCCCCAACAAUCAGCUGGCUCCUCGGCUCCGUCAUCUCAUCACGACAAUAUAUCAAAUGGGAAAAGGGGAGCAAAACAAUGGCGAGGACUCAUCCAAAGUACCCGCAAGACUUACAUUAGAACUAUGAUAAGUAUGCAUCAGUAUCCAAGGAAUGGGACUAC
Molecule: long non-coding RNA, 289 nt
Filed under: Hordeum vulgare
Lineage: Eukaryota; Viridiplantae; Streptophyta; Magnoliopsida; Poales; Poaceae
Description: long non-coding RNA (HVUL_LNC009865)
Source: RNAcentral